ACGCUGCAUUUCCUUCACGAGGCCACUCUCCUCAGUCUGGGUUUAGGAAACCCUGGAUUUCCCUGUGCCUGCCUCAAAACAACGUUGCAUAAACGUACGAAGUUCGAUCUACACAGUCGUCUCUCCAUAAUCCAUUUAGUUGGUGCUUUAUAAUCCGUAUAGUUGGUGUUUCACGAGUUUCAGAUUGUUCGAAGUGCGAUUACCCGAGUACCACGGGGCCGCGCGAUCAUCUCGCCUAAAGAGGCUGAUCUUGAGAUUGUACUACGAUUGGCCGCGCGUUUGCCACCUAUUACGGUGCCCCCUACGAUGCUCUGCUCUUUGCCUCCUUUACCCUGCUUCAGUCAAGAAUAAAAAUUUGCGUGAUGCGCAUUUUGACGUGCAUUUCGGGUGAGGAGUAUUUAUUCCUUCUUGGAUUUCGCUCAUGGCGAGGACUCCCCGUCGAAUAAAUCCCGGGAGGUCACUGAUGAUGCCCUCGGUUGCCGCGAUUUAGAUGAGAAUGCAUUGCUGAAUACACAAUGCCCCAGGAAUCUAGAGCUUAUAUGACAACAGGAAGUUAGUUCUAGACUUCUAGCAUUUAUGCGACUCAAUCGAUUGCAGAUAUCAACAGUGAUGGUAAACUUGUGUCCUUUGUUCAGUGAUGGUAAACUUGAGUUCUAUGUGCUCACUUAAUGAAAGUCCAACUUACAAAGUCAUAGACUGUAAUUGCUCCACCAGGCCCAUCAAUUGCUUAUAUAGGUUUAUCCUGCUUGGAAAUGGUUUGAGAAGCAAGAUGGGAUUCAAUCUUUGCAAAAAGACAACAAAGAUGCUCCAGAGUUUUACAACAUUUAUCUUGAGAGGCCAAAGGGGGAUGCUGAUGGGUAUGAUUUGGUUGUUGUUGAUGCGAUGCAUAAGGCUAAUUACGCAAGUCGAAUUUGUCAUUCAUGCAGGCCUAAUUGUGAAGCUAAAGUAACUGCUGUAGAUGGUCAAUACCAGAUAGGGAUCUAUACUGUGCGUGAAAUUCGAUAUGGCGAGGAAGUUACGUUUGAUUAUAAUUCAGUAACAGAGGUAUAUUUUGUCAUUACUUUAUUUCUUGGUUUGUUGGUCCAAUUCCAGAUACCGGAACAGAGAUUGAAAGCAGCAAGUAGAGGGGAAAAAAAAAAGUCUGAAAAUCAGAUGGAAGCAUAUAAAUUACGGUAGUUUGAAACCAAAGAACACAAGCUUGCUGUUAAUCAACAGAGUCCACUAAGCCUAGUUCUGGAUGGCAUUCUCAUAGAGAGACUAAAUAUGCAAAUUUCUCAGGCAAAGUUUUUGAAAGAAGUGGAUUUCCUGGAGAUGUAUAUAGACAUUGCAAGGCAAGCUUCAUAGGUUUAAAAAGCAAACUCAUCUAUGAACAAUUCCUUAUGGAAGUGUCGGACGGAAAGUGAACAAGUCACAGAAUCGAGCACUUUUGAUAUACCAUGGAUGCCAAGAAGUAUUGAUGGGAAGCUUGAGGCUUUCUAUUGAAUACAUGAAUUGAUGUAAUCGGCACUUGAGCAUCUACAUCUCCACUGCAAAGAUAAUGUGAGCAUUGUUAGAGGACAGCAUUUCACCUAUUUCUGAACUAAUUCCCGAAUAUUUUUAAUUUAUUAAUAGGUGAUAAAAAAUUUAACUC
Long non-coding RNA from Tripterygium wilfordii, 1630 nucleotides. RefSeq lists it as uncharacterized. The record is from RefSeq and is a predicted model, not a curated record. Lineage: Eukaryota; Viridiplantae; Streptophyta; Magnoliopsida; Celastrales; Celastraceae. The transcript is spliced from 7 exons.